GACUCGGAGGUAUACCGUUGUAAAGGCUGUGUAACAGUUCAUGUUAAGACUUACGAAGGCCGACAUUUCCAAUAUCCACAGAUAAAUUGUAUACCGCCUCUUUUGUUUGUCAGCAUUCGACUGUUACUAGAUCAGGUAUUUGCAUGUAUGUUCUCCUUCACUGCGUGUUUGACUACAGCUGGCGCCCAUAGUGUUCACUUACUUCAGCCAGGUGAUGGACACUGGCAUUCCUUCAACUUCUAACACAGUGCUGCACUGGGGGACUUCUGAAAACCAUUAACCUGGAAGAAAACGUGGCCGCACAGUGGCUUUCCAAGUAAAGUUCUGUAAUACACUUAGACUCUAAUUGUUUGCAGUCAGUGCAUUACAGAACUUUGUUUUGGGAGUUAAUGCUCUGGCUUUGAGGAAAUAGUACCUUUGGAGGUUGUGGUAAUGAUGCAAAAUGUAUUAUUUUUUUCAUCCUACAGUACACUGCAUUUUUCAUCAGGGUUCUUCACUUUUAGAUAAUUUGAACUUCAGUCGAUUGAAAAAACUUUAUAUUGAGAAUAUAUGUCACAAUAAAAGCACAGACUUGUGUGUUUAUGUUCCAGUUAUUGCUGGCUUGUAUUGUUAGAAAAUCUUCAUGCAGAUAAAAACCCUCAUCAAUUUCAUAUCAGUAUAAUAUGAUGAAUAGAGGGUGACAGAUGAAAGAGUAAAAAGUAUUCGAUCAAUGUCAAAAUUCACAAGAAGAGUAAACAUAAAGCCAAAUGAAGAAAAAUAACCACAUUCACACAUUCUUACUUCUGAGGGAUUUCUAAUUAAUGGGCUUUGCGACAUAAAUACAAGUAAAUGCAGCAGUUGUCAAUAAAUAACUAAGAUAUUUAAUGGCAAAGUAGAAUUCUGAAGUUGGCAAGCGACUAAACAUAUGAUGCGAAAGACCCUGGGAUCCUCACACGUAUGCUAGUCUCAUGUUUGGAGAGACCAUAACUGAACUGGGAUACUGAACAAACCAGGCUAGUCUGUUCUUAGCCUGUGGUCUUUUAAAUAUACAUUUCUAAUUAUUUUCACUGUAAAUAAAAUGCAGAUUAUAGUCAUAGUCAUAGAAAAACCAAGGUUUCUUCUUGAAAUUAGGGUGAAGAAAGGUCGAUACAAUCUUUAAGUGAAUGUGUCUCGAGUAGAGCACUCACCCUGCAGUUUGUGUGGGUUCAAAUGCCCCAUAUAGGGACGGGGACACUAUACUGUAAAAAAG
Molecule: long non-coding RNA, 1228 nt
Organism: Lepisosteus oculatus (spotted gar)
Lineage: Eukaryota; Metazoa; Chordata; Actinopteri; Semionotiformes; Lepisosteidae
Source: RefSeq, a predicted model, not a curated record